Molecule: long non-coding RNA, 391 nt
Filed under: Elaeis guineensis (African oil palm)
Lineage: Eukaryota; Viridiplantae; Streptophyta; Magnoliopsida; Arecales; Arecaceae
Description: long non-coding RNA (EGUI_LNC069725)
Source: RNAcentral
CCUAGCAGUAUAUAGUGGUAACCUAAUAGGAUGAACAUAUGAACCCUUAGGUACAGUUAUCAUAUGAUUCAGUCCUUCUAUCGUGAGUCCCGACUUGGCAGAGGUCAUGGAGAGCUCGUCAAAUCUUAUCGUCAGUCAUAUACUAGAUUGGCUCGACUCGAGUUUAUUUGUGAAUUCUGUGAAAAUUCUUUUCGAGUAUUCACACUUGCUUUGGCCAAAGACUUUCUGAACUCAGUCUCACAAAUCGCAUAAGACUUCUCCUUUUCUACCAAAGUUGAUAGAUCACAUCUAGAUGCAUCCUACUCCAAAUAACGAACCUAAACCUACUGAAGCCAAUAUACACAGCAAGGAUCCAAAUAAAUAGGGACCAAGAAAAUGUGCAGUCAAACCC